This 253-nucleotide ribosomal RNA is filed under the name uncultured bacterium. RNAcentral describes it as "partial 16S ribosomal RNA". It matches the Rfam family "Bacterial small subunit ribosomal RNA", at positions 524 to 776 of the family's 1533-position model. The record is from RNAcentral.
UACGGGGGGGGCAAGCGUUGUUCGGAAUUACUGGGCGUAAAGGGCGCGUAGGCGGCCUGGCAAGUGGAAGGUGAAAUCCCUCGGCUUAACCGAGGAACUGCCCUCCAAACUGCUUGGCUUGAGUCCGGGAGAGGUGAGUGGAAUUCCCAGUGUAGCGGUGAAAUGCGUAGAUAUUGGGAGGAACACCAGUGGCGAAGGCGGCUCACUGGACCGGAACUGACGCUGAGGCGCGAAAGCGUGGGGAGCAAACGGG